This 1846-nucleotide long non-coding RNA is filed under the name Sorghum bicolor (sorghum). Its description in RNAcentral is "long non-coding RNA (SBIC_LNC008268)". Lineage: Eukaryota; Viridiplantae; Streptophyta; Magnoliopsida; Poales; Poaceae. The record is from RNAcentral.
CCUAACAUCUACUCGCUAUGGUCACUGUCCAUGCCGGAGCCCUCCUCAUCCUCAUCUCCACUAGCAGCUGCUCCUAUCGCGGGAUCCGCGUCCAUCUCGUCCUUAGAGUCUAACUCAGCUGCUCCAGGUAGGUGGUGAGGGUGGAGCUGGUUAUGCAGCUGGUGGAUCUCCUCAUGCAAGUUCUCAUUGUACUCCUCCGCAUUAGCUAGCUGCUGCUCUAGCUCCGGCUGUCGGGCCCUGAAAGUGUCCUCCUCGUGCUAGGCUUCAUUCCUCUGACCAAGCACAUGGACUAGCAUGCGCUCGCAGUUCCUGUGAGCAGUAGUCACCCUGUCCUUCUACGCUCGUACUGCAAGCAGGUCCUGAAAUAUGAUGCAUUGACCCCCAAGUCAGUACUUAACUAGCCACCUUAGAGUCCUUAACUGGGCAUAAAGGAUAUGACCAUGGCACACUAGAUAGUUUUCCCAAAACUUGGUUUAACACCUUGAUCAUUAUUAAUUAAUAACAUCUUUUAUUAAACCAGUUUAGAUUUUUAUUUAGAACGUACUUAUGAACAGUAACUCGCUAAACCUUGCUCCGAUGCCAGCUGUAACAAACCGACCAAAUUAUAAGAGAUUAAGCCUAACAGAGACCAUUUGCAUAGUCAACCCAUCAGGCUUAAGCCCAUAUAAUCCCAGUAGUCGUGAAAUCUCGAAGGAUUUCAAACCACACAUCGCACAACAGCCAAGAUCGUAAUAAGUUUAGCGGUCACCAUCCACAAAUACAUCCAGAUUACAACAUUCAUAAAAUACAUGAGAGUUCUUAAAAUUAUUACAAACCAAGUUCUUCAAGUAGCGGAAGCUUCAUAGUUCGAAAAUACAACACACACACUUAUUGUGAUACAGUGCCUUAGUUCGAUCAUUCCCACAAAAGCAAAAGAGAAGACGGAGUGACCAUCGCCCUUGGUCUCGUCAUCACCCAUGGCUGGGUACAGACAGAGGAUGCAAUAACCAUAGUACAUUUGACUAUCUGCAAAACAACAUGGGAGUAGAACCCUGAGUACGAGAAGGUACUCAGCUAGACUUACCCAUCAUAAAAAAAAUAAAAAUAAAAUAAAAUAACUUCAAGGAUCAUGAAGGCUAUAUGGUGGGGUAGCUGACGACCAUUUUGCAAAACCGCAGAAUUCUAUAUCAUAACCUAUAUAAAUUUUUCUUCCUUUAAUUUGCUCAAGUUGAAAGUAUCAUUACCUAUUAUCUAGGUUUGCACCUGUAUUAUGAUAGUACCUCAUCAAGCAUUUCUUAAAAUCAUUCCUCAUUUUAACCCAAGUGUUCCAUAGUCCUUACUACGAGGACAGGGCUCAUGUCAAGUGCUCACUAUCCAGGAGCGAUGGCGAUUCGAAUCGAUUUCUAACCAGCUGGCGAGGUAUUCCCCACACAAACCACACUCACUGAUCAAGUGAGCUACAGAUCACUGUAUUACACUAUCCAGGACUAAUUCGCGGGUUCGGCAGGCACCGCCAGUACCCGAGGACCAUUCCGGCGACCGAGGUAUCCAAGGCAUACCAAGGUUGCGCGCCGCACCCUCGUCGUUCUCCUCAACCAUCACCAAUACAGCGCAUGGCGGCUCGAUUCCCGGCCCGGAUAGUGUUCUGGCUUCGCGGUCGGAAUGACUUAUCCUUCCAGCUAAGUGUGGGCAUGCGUUCAACAUGACAAGAGGGCCGUCAACGAUCGGUCCAUAAUCGACAUAGGCAGGAGCACUAUGGUCAACCCACCAUAAGACCCUGCCCGGUCUCCAAUUCCAUUGCACACUUGGUUAUUCUUUUCCCAAAGCAACCACUGCUUAAACAAGUAGGUAUCCACCUAUAUCUCGC